RNAcentral lists this ribosomal RNA (486 nucleotides) under uncultured bacterium. Its description in RNAcentral is "partial 16S ribosomal RNA". It matches the Rfam family "Bacterial small subunit ribosomal RNA", at positions 28 to 507 of the family's 1533-position model. The record is from RNAcentral.
GAUGAACGCUGGCGGCGUGCCUAAUACAUGCAAGUCGAACGCUGGAAAUCUAGCUUGCUAGAUUGAAGGAGUGGCGAACGGGUGAGUAAUACAUAAGCAACCUACCCACGAAGACUGGGAUAAUCUCUGGAAACGGGGACUAAUACCGGAUAGGUAAUCGGAAGGCAUCUUCUGAUUAUUAAAGGUUAAAAACACUGGUGGAUGGGCUUAUGGCGCAUUAGUUAGUUGGUGAGGUAACGGCCCACCAAGACGAUGAUGCGUAGCCGGCCUGAGAGGGUGAACGGCGACAUUGGGACUGAGACACGGCCCAGACUCCUACGGGAGGCAGCAGUAGGGAAUUUUCGGCAAUGGGGGAAACCCUGACCGAGCAACGCCGCGUGAGUGAUGACGGCCUUCGGGUUGUAAAGCUCUGUUGUAAGGGAAGAACGGUAGAUAGAGAAUAUCUAAAUGACGGUACCUUACCAGAAAGCCACGGCUAACUACGUG